AGGAAGUACUUCCCCCUAACUUGCUUUUGGGUUCAGAAUCAGAGAGACGCAGUGAGAGUCAGAUCCCUCUUUCAGCGCCCCGAGAAAAACCCAAAAAAAUUAAAAACAAAAAAAAAAUUGAGAAAAGGAAAACAAAAUUAAAAUACAAAUACAAAAUGGACGUAAUAAUGUUCGGCAUCAUAAUCGGCAUAAUCGUGCUUUUCUUCGGCAUCGUUUGCUUCAUCACCAUCGAAGGCACCUGCAAGCGCCGCAACUCCUAAUCCCCUCCGCCAAACACGCCCCUAAUUUCUCGGACCCUCACCAAAACCUCCGCAGUUCCUUUCGUUCCGUUCCGUUACAUUUGGAAGAUAUGGCGUUACGUAUCUCCUUGCUGAUUACGGCUUUGGUGGUUGGGCUGUGCUUGGAUCUGAGCUGGGGCCACUCCGGACUCGGUGUGUCGCAGGUCCACGAGUCCAGUGGUCACGACGACCACUGUAAUCACGGACACGACCAUGGUCAUCAUCAUCAUCAUGAUGAGGAGCGUUCGGUCUCGAAGCUUCCGGAGGAAUUGGCGGAGGAGGAGGAUAUGAAAUUGUACGGGUUCGGCUUCGAGCACGACCAUGAUCACAAGCAUUUUGGUGGUGCGUCGGAUCUCUCGGGUCUAGGUCUAUGGGUUAAUGCAUUGGGAUGCUCAUUUUUGGUGAGCAUGGCUUCUCUUAUAUGCCUGAUUAUCUUGCCGGUAAUAUUUGUACGAGGGAAACCAUCAAAAACUGUUGUUGAUUCAUUGGCUUUAUUUGGGGCAGGAGCUAUGCUAGGAGAUGCUUUUCUUCACCAAUUACCACAUGCUUUUGGUGGCCAACACUCCCAUUCGCAUGAUCAUGAUGCAAAUCAUGACGAUCAUGAUCAUUUGGGACACGAUCAUUCACAUUCACAUUCUUUGAAAGACCUCUCUGUAGGAAUGUCUAUCCUUGCUGGCAUUGUACUUUUUCUUCUUGUAGAGAAGGUGGUGAGGUAUGUUGAAGAUAAAUCCAGAGGAGCUCAUGCGUGGAGUCAUGGUCAUCACCACCAUCAUCAUAAGAGCACUAAGAUAUUGAAGGAUGAUGAUAAUUCUCAUGACAUUAUGCAGUCAUUAUCUUUAGAUGGAAAAGAAGGAAAGACAUUGGAGAUGUCAUCUGAAGGAAAAGUGUCAGGUGAAGUGUCAGAAGAAGCUUCGAAGGGAAAUGAUCUGACCCAUCAUGAACUUCGGAAGAGAAGCACUGGUGCUGGUGCUAGAGAAGAUAAGGCCGAUGUAGAUUUUGCAAAUAACUUCACCGAGGAUACUCAUUUGAAAGAAAAAGAACCAAGUCAAUCCUCAACAAAUCUUGUGUUUGGUUAUCUCAAUCUCUUUUCUGAUGGUGUUCACAAUUUUACUGAUGGAAUGGCUCUAGGAAGUGCUUUCCUUCUUUAUGGAUCUGUUGGCGGUUGGUCUAGAACUCUGUUUUUGCUUGCACAUGAGCUUCCUCAAGAGGUCUGCCGUGUUGGGCCUUGAGGUAGUGAUGAGGUUGCUUUGGAUCCAAGGCACAUCCUGUUUGCCAACCACUACGGAAAGAGCAAGAAGGCACAAGAGUAAGUACGGCAUCAGUUUGGCAUAUGGGGAAGACAACAGAGAAAAGGCUAGGAGAGGGAGACACAAGGCAUGAUAUAUGGGCUUAUGGAGCUCAUGUAGGGUGAGCCAAAUAGAAUAUAUGAUCCACUUAAGAGGAUGUUAGAGUAGCAUUUAGGAGAAGAUGAGAGGAAGCCUAUGGCUAGCGUAAGAAUUGUUCUGACCAUAAUGACUGCAGGAUAGAGAGGGAGAUGAUCCAUGGAACAUUUUGUAGUUCUUCUUAGCUGGUUGUGCUUGCAUUUCUCCCCAUGGUUAUGAUGUACACAUGAAGAUGGAGACGAGCGUGGGACCUGUGGCUUUGUGGGAAGAUCUAGCCAUGAGAAGUGAUUCUUGAGUGGUAGGACAUGAAAAAUAGAAAGAUAGAGAGGAUGGCGGCCUUUGCUUAAAAAUAUGAACGUGUUGUUUGUGUUAGCAACAUGCCUAUAAGAUGUCCAUGACUGGAAGGAUGAGGAAAUGGAGGAGGUUGGGAGUGGUGUCUUUUAUUGAGAUCAAGUUUGUAGAAGUAGCGUUUUGCUGGUGAUACCACCAGUUUGACAUCUAAGCGCUGCUAAAUGCGGAAAAGUAGGGAUUCUAAUCGCAGCAAUAAAGGCUUCCUCUAACCCAAUAUGUAAACUGGUUUUUAGCAUCGUGAGAGACCCAAAGAGUCUAUUAGGAAGCAUGAGAAAUCAUGAUGACCUUGCUAGAUGUUUAGACAAUAGGGGUAGUUUAGGAAGCACCUUGGUUGCAUGAUUUGCAUCAAAUGAAGGGGAAAAGUGCGUAGGAAUGGGUGGUAUAGUUGGCUUUAGUGAGCAAGGCUUAUUCUUAGCAUAAAUGCUUGCUUUGGGUUUGGGCUUUAUGUUGGGGAUUGUGAAAUUUGUGAAAUUUUGUAUGACAUAUUUGAAUCUGGCAGAGAGUGAGUUGAUCCCAGGCUUGCUUGACAGUGUGAGGUUUAUUUUUGGGGUGGUUAGAAAGCUAUACUUUUCCUUCAUGAGAGCUUUUUUUGCAGCUCAUCGAAGAGAGACAAUAUCUGAAGGUGCUCAAGCUAUAGAAGGCCAAGUCUGGCGGCAGAGGAGAUUAUGUACAUGGGGCCCAAUUUCUUUUAUUCCAGGCUUGCUUAUGGCUGACUACAUAAGGUUUAUUUUGAGUAGCAUUUAACUGGAUGUGCUUGUCACUCUAGAGUCUUUUUACAGCUCAUUUAAGAGUGUCGUGAUCUGAAGCUAUAGAAGCUCAAGUCUGGUGGCGGAGAAGAUGUACAUGGGCCAAAUUCUUUUUGAAUAGUUAAUGAUUAUGGCACUGUUUGCCUGGUCUAGUCACAGAGAUAGUCAUAGGCUUAGAUGUGCCUGUUGCAGCAUUAAUUUGGACUUGAUAUAAUUUUGUUCCCCGAUGUAUAAUAGAGCCUUUUAGGCAGGUUCCUAGCGGUAAUGAUUUAGUCUUUAUUAAAGGCAAUACUAAACUGGUUGCUGCUUGAUCAUGGGACUUGCUGCUUGGCCAAUUGAGGAAAGGAGAGAUUCUGAUGUUCUUCUGGCCAUCUAAGUCUGGUGGUGAAGGGAAGCAUAAAUAAGGCUCAACUUGCUUUGGGCAUGAGACAUUGAGGAAUUAUCGUACAUUUACUUGGGCUUGAGGAUAUUACUGGGCCUGGGGUUCUGGUUAAUGUAUUGUCCAUGUGGCUCCCACAUGAAUGCUUGUUUCCUUGUGGUCAUAUAUAGCUGGUUGCUAUGUCACAGAUAAAAGUGACCAUCAACCAUUAUCAUGCUGCAAAAGUUAUCUUUGCAACAUUUCUUUAUAUUUGUUUUAUGAUGCAUGGUAUAGAAUGCACCGCUUAGAUUUUGGGGGGAGUUCUGGGACUUGGUUUCUAUAAUCAUAAGUUCUAUCCUUUGCUUGGUCUUGACCUCUAUGAUGCAUGGUAGCAUGCACCCCUUAAGAUUAGGGGGGUAUGAGGGGGGGUGAUUUUCAUACUUUGUAUCUAUAACCAUAAAUUGUAUCCCUUAUGACAUAGUAUAGCAUUCCACCCCCCCACCCUUCAGAUUGGAAGAGAGGUUGCAAAAUGGAUGGGACUCAAACUUUUGAUGCUGAAAUGUAUAUUUUGAGCAUGUAGGUCUUCAUCCUUUUAUAUGCUCAACUGGUUCUGUAUGAGUGGCCGUUUGAUUGUUUCUAUUUGAGCUGGGCUUGAAAUUUUUUGUAAGUUUGCACAUUUCAUUUGAGGUGCAUUUGAUGGAAAUGUACUGAUUUCUUGAAAUCAAGACGUAAAAGCUUACCUCUUUGGUUUUGAUACUAUUUACUCAGACUUAUAUGAAGUAUACCAUGGUAAAGACAAGACCUUGAAUUUCCAACAUCUUGAUGAUUGUUAAAAGUUGGAGACUUUGUUUUGUACAGUCUAUUGGUUAUCUACAGUGUGAUUCUUGGAAAAUGCAUCUAUGGUCCUAUCAGUACUGCUUCUUCUCAAAUUUGGGAAAUGGUGGGGAGGCAAUAACAACUGUGGAAACUGAUCAGUUCAUCAAAUUAUUAGCUCCUUAGCCAAGUUGAGCUUGUAGUUCCUUAAAUUGCCACUUGUAAAAUAUACAAAGUGCUGUUGAACCCAAACUGGUAGGUGAAUCUUUCUGUCCUUUCUGAGAGGUAAAUACUCAUCUUUGGCUAUUUGCAUCUUAUCUCGGGUUGGCAGGUUUCAUAUUUCACUUGCGGUAGAGAUUGCCAAACAGAUCCAAGCUUUGUGGAUUCUUCUUCUCUCUCGUGAUUUAGGGUAUUGAAUGGUGGAAUUCAUAUUUCCUCAUUUCAUGUGAUAAAAUUUAGAAAUGGAGGCAUUCCUGUUUGUGAGGUUGGUGAUUUUGGUAUUCUUGUGAUGUCUGGUUUCAGCGUCCCCAAAGCUCUCUUCUUCAACUUCCUCUCGGCAGUGGUGGCACUAGCAGGAACCGCAAUGGCUUUGCUUUUGGGACAAGAUCCUGGGC
RNA transcript from Alnus glutinosa, 4542 nucleotides. It is a transcript of the gene named IAA-alanine resistance protein 1, with no coding region annotated. The record is from RefSeq and is a predicted model, not a curated record. The transcript has 11 exons. NCBI's taxonomy places the organism in Eukaryota, Viridiplantae, Streptophyta, Magnoliopsida, Fagales, Betulaceae.